GUGGUGGCGGUGGUGUUGAUGA
Molecule: microRNA, 22 nt
Filed under: Echinococcus granulosus
Lineage: Eukaryota; Metazoa; Platyhelminthes; Cestoda; Cyclophyllidea; Taeniidae
Description: egr-miR-10249-3p
Source: miRBase by way of RNAcentral